Elaeis guineensis (African oil palm) is the source of this 504-nucleotide non-coding RNA. NCBI's taxonomy places the organism in Eukaryota, Viridiplantae, Streptophyta, Magnoliopsida, Arecales, Arecaceae. The record is from RefSeq and is a predicted model, not a curated record.
UGUAGUACUCUUGGAAGUCGUACAAUUCCUUUGAAGUUUUGGCUCUGUCAGCGUGCCACUUCUACCACCUAACUACCAGAACGACAUGCACUUUGCUGUAACAGCAAUUACAUUGCCAAGAUGAGAGUGAAUUAUCUACAUUCACGGAUAUAUUCAGGCUAAUUCGGGAUGUUCGCUUUUAUUAUGAAGGGGUUUUUGGAAGGGUAGCUUGGAAAAUUAUCUUGUGCGAUGCAGCACCACUGUUGCUUGUUGUUUUGGCUGGCAAAAAUUGAUCCCCAAAUGUUUCACAUGAAAGAGAAUAAUGUUUCUAAAUUUCCAUUCUGCCCUGCAUGAAGGUAAGAUUUCCUGGAACUCUCUAUUGGUCUGGGAUUUUUUUUCUUACCCCCCAACCAUGUAGUUCAUUCUUGAAAGUUUAUGUGACAAGGAACUACUUGACAUUCUCUCUUUUGGACAUCUGUAUAUGUUGCUGAUUUGAUUUGGAGGUCUUGAGUGUCAUUUUGAUCU